This 490-nucleotide ribosomal RNA is filed under the name uncultured bacterium. Its description in RNAcentral is "bacterial SSU rRNA". It matches the Rfam family "Bacterial small subunit ribosomal RNA", at positions 9 to 526 of the family's 1533-position model. The record is from RNAcentral.
GAGUUUGAUCAUGGCUCAGGAUGAACGCUGGCGGCGUGCCUAACACAUGCAAGUCGAGCGAUUUACUUCGGUAAAGAGCGGCGGACGGGUGAGUAACGCGUGGGUAACCUGCCUCAUACACAUGGAUAACAUACCGAAAGGUAUGCUAAUACAGGAUAAUAUAAGAGAUUCACAUGGAUUUCUUAUCAAAGCUCCGGCGGUAUGAGAUGGACCCGCGUCUGAUUAGCUAGUUGGUAAGGUAAUGGCUUACCAAGGCGACGAUCAGUAGCCGACCUGAGAGGGUGAUCGGCCACAUUGGAACUGAGACACGGUCCAAACUCCUACGGGAGGCAGCAGUGGGGAAUAUUGCACAAUGGGCGAAAGCCUGAUGCAGCAACGCCGCGUGAGUGAUGAAGGCCUUCGGGUCGUAAAACUCUGUCCUCAAGGAAGAUAAUGACGGUACUUGAGGAGGAAGCCCCGGCUAACUACGUGCCAGCAGCCGCGGUAAUAC